This 253-nucleotide ribosomal RNA is filed under the name uncultured bacterium. RNAcentral describes it as "partial 16S ribosomal RNA". It matches the Rfam family "Bacterial small subunit ribosomal RNA", at positions 524 to 776 of the family's 1533-position model. The record is from RNAcentral.
UACAGAGGCCUCGAGCGUUAGGCGGAAUCACUGGGCUUAAAGCGCGUGUAGGCGGAUCGUUAAGUGCCUUGUGAAAUCCCACGGCUCAACCGUGGAACUGCUGGGCAUACUGGCGAUCUUGGGCCACUCAGGGGUUGCCGGAACAAACGGUGGAGCGGUGAAAUGCGUAGAUAUCGUUAGGAACGCCGAAGGUGAAGACAGGCAACUGGGAGUGCGCCGACGCUGAGACGCGAAAGCCAGGGGAGCAAACGGG